GAUGAACGCUGGCGGCGUGCCUAAUACAUGCAAGUCGAGCGAACAGACGAGGAGCUUGCUCCUUUGACGUUAGCGGCGGACGGGUGGGUAACACGUAGGUAACCUACCUAUAAGACUGGGAUAACUUCGGGAAACCGGAGCUAAUACCGGAUAAUAUUUCGAACCGCAUGGUUCGAUAGUGAAAGAUGGCUUUGCUAUCACUUAUAGAUGGACCUGCGCCGUAUUAGCUAGUUGGUAAGGUAACGGCUUACCAAGGCAACGAUACGUAGCCGACCUGAGAGGGUGAUCGGCCACACUGGAACUGAGACACGGUCCAGACUCCUACGGGAGGCAGCAGUAGGGAAUCUUCCGCAAUGGGCGAAAGCCUGACGGAGCAACGCCGCGUGAGUGAUGAAGGUCUUCGGAUCGUAAAACUCUGUUAUUAGGGAAGAACAUACGUGUAAGUAACUGUGCACGUCUUGACGGUACCUAAUCAGAAAGCCACGGCUAACUACGUG
RNAcentral lists this ribosomal RNA (497 nucleotides) under uncultured bacterium. RNAcentral describes it as "partial 16S ribosomal RNA". It matches the Rfam family "Bacterial small subunit ribosomal RNA", at positions 28 to 507 of the family's 1533-position model. The record is from RNAcentral.